GACAAAACAAAAACUGUCUCUGCUGUAAAAAUUUAAUUUAACUUUUAAGUGAAAAGGCUUAAAUAAUUCAAUGGGACGAUAAGACCCUAUAAGCUUUAUAUUUUUUUGACUAUAUUAUAAAAAUUUAAUUAAAUAUUUUUGUUUUGAAAAAAUUUGGCUGGGGCGGCAUAUUUAAAAAUAUUAUUAACUCUUUUUAUUUUAACCACAGUUAUGUGUAAUAAUAGAUCCUUUAUAAAGAUUAAAAGGCAAGUUACUUUAGGGAUAACAGCGUUAUUUUUUUUGAGAGCCCAUAUCGAAAAAAAAGAUUGCGACCUCGAUGUUGAAUUAAAAAUUCUAUAUAGUGCAGUAGCUUUAUAAGAAGGUCUGUUCGACC
Molecule: ribosomal RNA, 373 nt
Filed under: Arcania heptacantha
Lineage: Eukaryota; Metazoa; Arthropoda; Malacostraca; Decapoda; Leucosiidae
Description: partial large subunit ribosomal RNA
Source: RNAcentral